Molecule: ribosomal RNA, 301 nt
Filed under: uncultured bacterium
Lineage: Bacteria
Description: partial 16S ribosomal RNA
Rfam family: Bacterial small subunit ribosomal RNA
Source: RNAcentral
CAGUAGCCACGGGAACACGUAGGGUGCAAGCGUUAAUCGGAAUUACUGGGCGUAAAGCGUGCGCAGGCGGUUAUAUAAGUCAGAUGUGAAGUCCCCGGGCUCAACCUGGGAACUGCAUUUGAGACUGUAUGGCUAGAGUGUGUCAGAGGGGGGUAGAAUUCCACGUGUAGCAGUGAAAUGCGUAGAUAUGUGGAGGAAUACCGAUGGCGAAGGCAGCCCCCUGGGAUAACACUGACGCUCAUGCACGAAAGCGUGGGGAGCAAACAGGAUUAGAUACCCCUGUAGUCCCUGUCUCUUAUAC